RNAcentral lists this long non-coding RNA (1026 nucleotides) under Sus scrofa (pig). RNAcentral's name for it is "lncRNA (ENSSSCG00015011020.1)". The record is from RNAcentral. Lineage: Eukaryota; Metazoa; Chordata; Mammalia; Artiodactyla; Suidae.
UAGGCUCACAGCAAAAUGAAAGGCAGGUGCAGAGACUUCCCGCGUACCCCCUGCCCUGCCCUGCACAGCCGCCCCGCAUCACCCCCCAGAGCUGUGGCCCCUCGUCAUCACCAAUGCUGCCGCUUCCUUAGGGUUCACUCUCCGUGUUGCGCCUUCUGUGGGUUUGGAGAAACAGCGAGGGCCUGUAUCUGUCCCAGCAUCCCUCGGAAUAGCUUCCCUGCCGUGAACUCCCUGCGUGCCACCUGCGUGCCACCUGCGUGCCCCUCCCCCACCUGCCGUCCCCAGGCGCUCUCUUGGAUCUUCUGGAUGCGCUCUUGGGAAUCUGGCCGGGCAGGCGAGGAGGUCUUGACGCCUGGAGGAGGACGUUUCCAGCACACAGCAUCACACGAAUCCGUCAGGUUCUGGGCGCCUGGGCGGGAGGCGCCCCUAAGCCCUGAGCCUGAGAACGGGGAGCGGGGAUGGGGAGGCUGGAAGGACCUACGUGGCCUCAGCAGCUCCUGAAGGGAUCCCGCAGCUGAGGGACCGUGCCAUCGGGGAGGGGGGCUGGCUCCCCUCUGGCACCUUUCAGCGAGAAUUACAAGGCAUUGGUGAGCUGAAAUCUCCCCAGACUGCUCGGUGGGACUCCUGCCCAGCUGAGGGUGCCAGGGUGAGGGGCCCACUCCCUGCCCUGGGGCUGCCCGGGGCAGCGGGCACUGGUCCAUCAGGAACCCACAAGCCUCCCAGCGGCGUGGCCUGUGAGGCUGGGGCUGAAGGACCCGGGAGAGCUCUGCUGGGCUGGCUCUGGGUCAGCCGGACUGCAUGUGAUGACUGGAGUUUCUGUUCAUUGCCUGCUCUGGACGGCCCUGAAUCUGCCUGGCGGCCUUGGGAAACCACUGUUUCACCUCUGGUUGCCAAAGCACAGAGACAAGCACACAGUUUUAUGGGUGCAGAUCCGUUUUCUCCCUGUGUGGGGCCCUCCAGGGCCCGACCCCAGCCUCUGAAGCAAAGCCUCCUUGUGCCCCUCCUAAAAACCCCCGUCCUUUUCCC